UAAACCAAAACAAAAAUAACACUUAGCUCUUCAACUUUCCCAGCAAACAAACUUCUCAAACACAAUAAUGAGAAAUUACAACAAACAGAUUACAACUACCCUUAAAAACAAACUUAAAUACAAGUAAACUAAAACAAAAAUUACAUUUAACUCUUCAACUUUCCCAGCAAACAAACAUCUAAAAUACAAAAACGAUUGACUACAACAAACAAAUUACGACUGCCCUUACAAACUGAUAAGGAAAAAGAGUAAACUCCAAGUAUCUGCCCAUAAGCAAAUAUGUCGGUUCUAACAUUUGCAUGAGUUGAAAUGACCAUAAAUUGAAAAAGUUUAUCAUUAUUUCUCUAUGUGUACAUUAACAUGGCAAUGCUUGAGGCUGUUUUCAAUAUUGUGCAGAGGACAACAAAAUUGUUCUUUUUUUAUGUAUGUUCUUCUUUAUUUUGUCGCUUUUUUUUUCUAAUUUAAAGUUUUGAUAUCCAUUGUUCCAUGCCAAGCGGUGCAUAUGUUACAUUUAAUUGCUAUUGGUUCUCUUAUGAUUUGAAUUACAAGGUAAAAGAGUCUUGACCGUACAUAAAUUGAUAUACUCACUUUUGUUAAUUUGUUGUAGAUUUCAAACGUCAAAAAUCACGUAAAUAAAUACGUAUUCAAUAUUAUUUUUCGUCUUUAACUAGUUAAGAUUUUCUUUCUUUGUCAUUAUGAAGAUCUUUAGGCAAAAAGUUAAAGAGAGUCCAAUUAUAUAUUAUUUCUGUUUUGUUCUCUUUUGUGGGUAACACUGCUGGAGAAAUGUUGGGUUCUGAGAUAAUCGCGCAAUAAAAGGUUUAUUUUCGUUUGUUUGUGACAUAUAUUUUAUUUUUUAUUAUAUUUAUAUUUUUUUCUAUUUAAGGUUAUUUACUUAACAAUAUUCUUUUUGUUUACUUUAAUAGACGACUACUGAAGGUUAUUAUCAAUCUUAUGGAACACUUUUAAGGUAAAUAAGCGUGUAUUUUAUGUUUUUAGGUAGCUAAAAUUUUCAUACUUUGUUAGUGUGUAACUCUUUAGGCAAAAAGUUUAAAAUGGCCCAGGCGUGUCACUUGUGUUUUGUUUUCUUUUGUUGAUAACACUCUUUUAAACGUGGAUUAUGAGGCAUCCGGUGAAUAAAAGGUUUGUCUUCCUUCUUUUAUCAUAUUUUUCUGUUUUAUUUUAUUUUUUUAUUAGCUUAAUUUUUUUUAAAAAAAUUUUGAUGGAGUUGAAGAGAGUUACAAUGCUAACUAUUUGCACAUCAUCUAUCACAUUAAAUUUUAAAAAGUUUCCAGACGAAGCUCAACAAGGAGAUCUACUGCAUGACCAUUUUAGUAGAAAAGAAGAUCUGUGGUUCGAUUUGAUAGCAAAUACUGGUGAUGGCGGGAACUCGUCUUCAUCUGUUGCAGUAGCAUAAUGUCAGCAGUCUCUUUUGAUUCUUCAGUGUUUCCAAUGAGAUUGCAUUUACUGAAAUGGUACUCAGGAUAUUGGAGCUGGUCUAUACAGUGGUUAGAUACUAAGAGCUGCUGUGUUUUGUGAGGUAUCUCUUUCUUCUUGUCUUUCACAUUAUAUUUCUUGAGUUUUGGUAUGCUUGUUUUAUUUCUCGCGUCACUGGCAAGAGGACGGAGGUCCUGACCAUUCUUCAAAAUUGUGCUGUAAGUGAUGAAAAUUCAAAUUUCUAUUUUAAUGAUUUUGCAUAUUUACUGGUUGUAGCAAAUCUGCGAAUACCUGCUCUCUUGCUUACGCUGGCAGGUACUCUGUACAGCUUGUUGCAUGUUUUACGGUCUAUGAGCGACAAAAAGAGGGAGAGUAGGUACGAAGAAGAGAACCAGAGCGGUAGAGGAAGAGAGUGCGUAUGAAAUUUUACCUCAUUAUUUAUUAUCUGAUUCGUCAACUAUUUCUAUUGUUUUACUAACUAAUCAAGCAAUAAUUUUUAAUUUAUGCUACCAUAACUUAGUCGAAUGAUAGAUUUGAAACCUAAAAACCUACGUCACGCUAGAUCGAUAUGAAAAAAACAAAACAAACAAAUUAUGAUUAGAAACUGAAAUUCGAAUAAAAAUGCAAACAAACUCAAAUACAAUUAUAAAUCCAAGUAUAGUAAAAGAAAAAUUCAAUUGAUUUUUUUUUUGCAAUUCCAAACAUAUGAAACAAACAACUAACUCGAGUGAAAUUACAACAAACUAAAACAACAAAUUUCAACAACAACUACGUGCUGAAAUUCUAAUAUAAUUACAAAUUCAAGUAAACCAAAACAAAAAUAACACUUAGCUCUUUAACUUUCCCAGCAAACAAACAUCUCAAACACAAACACAAUAACGAGAAACUACAAUAAACAAAUUACAACUACCCUUAAAAAUAAACUCAAAUACAAGAAAAUCAAAACAAAAAUUAAAUUUAACUCUUCAAUUUUCCCAGCAAAUAAACAUCUAAAACACAAAAACGACAAACUACAACAAAUAAAUUACGACUACCCUUACAAACUAAUAAGGGAAAAGAGUAAAUCCUAAGUAUCUGCCCAUAAACAAGUAUGUUGGUUCUAACAUUUGCAUGAGUUGAAAUGACCAUAAAUUGAAAAAGUUUAGCAUUAUUUCUUUGUGUACAUUAACAUGGCAAUGCUUGAGGCUGUUUUCAAUAUUGUGCAAAGGACAACAAAAUUGUUCUCUUUAUGUGUCUGUUUUUCUUGAUUUUGUUGCUUUUUUUUCUAAUUUAAAUUUUUUAUAUCCGUUGUUCUAUGCCAAGCUGUGCAUAUGUUACAUUUAACUGCUCUUGGUUCUCUUCUGAUUUGAAUUACAACGUAAAAGAGUCUUGACCGUAUAUAAAUUGAUAUACUCACUUUUGUUUAUUUGUUGUAGAUUUCAAACGUCAAAAAUAAGGUAAAUAAACACGUAUUCAAUAUUAUCUUUUGUCUUUAAUUAGUUAAAAUUUUCUUUCUUUGUUAUUAUGAAGAUCUUUAGGCAAAAAGUUAAAGAGAGUCCAAUUAUAUAUGAUUUCUGUUUUGUU
This 2997-nucleotide long non-coding RNA is filed under the name Carica papaya (papaya). Its description in RNAcentral is "long non-coding RNA (CPAP_LNC002534)". Lineage: Eukaryota; Viridiplantae; Streptophyta; Magnoliopsida; Brassicales; Caricaceae. The record is from RNAcentral.